AUCCAGCAGUCGCCAUCUUAAUAUUAGUGAUCCGAAAGUUAUGUCGUAUUUGUGGAUAUCGUGUUAAUGCUUGCGUAGCCCAAAAAUAUGCAGUUUCAAUGAUACAGCUAUUAAAGAUAUCGCCGAAACGCGUCGUUUGCAGUACAGAUUUGUGGUACUGCAGUCGCAUAAAGUCCGAUAACGGAAUAUAAUAAUGUUAUUUAGUUUGUAAGGCUCAUUUUUUCAGUUUUUUAGUGUCUUUCCGAUUUACAUGUGUGGUGUGUGUCACUGUAACAGCGUUCUUCUGUUUAUUGGAGGAGUGUUUGUUGCAGUGGGAGAUGCCUGAUGGCCACAAUAGUGUGCAGGACCCAUUAGGCUUCGAAGAGGACUUGAAACAUGAAGUGGAGUCAGCAAAUAGCGGCAUUGAACCAGAAAGGAACAAGUUCUACAGAGACAGUCCUGUGGCUCAAGUAAAUUUCUGACUUUUAUUAAAAGUUAAAACAGUGCAUUCCACUCAAGCAUCUCACUCAUUAUAGAGGGAUGCUGACUCAGUUUUUCAGGACAACAAAUGGGAAGAUGCAGUACAGAAAAUGGUCCAGAGAUCACCAGUGCGUCUGAGAUAGGAGUGAACAGCGUGGCAUUACAUUAUUUGUAAAAGAAGUAUUGUAUACCAGGAGUAAAUCUAAUGACUGUCUCUAACUAGAAGUGUGUAAAUGUAUGUGUAUAUGAAUUAGCUUAUUUUAAAUUGAUCUAAACUUGUAAAUAAUUUGCCAUGUCCUAUAUCCUUGUAAAAAGAGUUCUACAAAGCAAUAAAGCUAAUGCUGCUACUA
Long non-coding RNA from Schistocerca cancellata (South American locust), 809 nucleotides. RefSeq lists it as uncharacterized. NCBI's taxonomy places the organism in Eukaryota, Metazoa, Arthropoda, Insecta, Orthoptera, Acrididae. The record is from RefSeq and is a predicted model, not a curated record. The transcript is spliced from 5 exons.